This 73-nucleotide transfer RNA is filed under the name Magnetospira sp. QH-2. It matches the Rfam family "tRNA". From Rfam's summary of the family: Transfer RNA (tRNA) molecules are approximately 80 nucleotides in length. Their secondary structure includes four short double-helical elements and three loops (D, anti-codon, and T loops). The record is from Rfam by way of RNAcentral. Lineage: Bacteria; Pseudomonadati; Pseudomonadota; Alphaproteobacteria; Rhodospirillales; Thalassospiraceae.
GGGGCCGUAGCUCAGUUGGGAGAGCGCUUGAAUGGCAUUCAAGAGGUCGUCGGUUCGAUUCCGUCCGGCUCCA